This 518-nucleotide ribosomal RNA is filed under the name uncultured bacterium. RNAcentral describes it as "partial 16S ribosomal RNA". It matches the Rfam family "Bacterial small subunit ribosomal RNA", at positions 355 to 895 of the family's 1533-position model. The record is from RNAcentral.
UGGGGAAUAUUGGACAAUGGGCGCAAGCCUGAUCCAGCAAUGCCGCGUGAGUGAUGAAGGCCUUAGGGUUGUAAAGCUCUUUCGCACGCGACGAUGAUGACGGUAGCGUGAGAAGAAGCCCCGGCUAACUUCGUGCCAGCAGCCGCGGUAAUACGAAGGGGGCUAGCGUUGUUCGGAAUUACUGGGCGUAAAGGGCGCGUAGGCGGCCUGUUUAGUCAGAAGUGAAAGCCCCGGGCUCAACCUGGGAAUAGCUUUUGAUACUGGCAGGCUUGAGUUCCGGAGAGGAUGGUGGAAUUCCCAGUGUAGAGGUGAAAUUCGUAGAUAUUGGGAAGAACACCGGUGGCGAAGGCGGCCAUCUGGACGGACACUGACGCUGAGGCGCGAAAGCGUGGGGAGCAAACAGAUUAGAUACCCUGUAGUCCACGCGUAAACGNUGAAUGCUAGACGUCGGGUGCAUNCACUUCGGUGUCGCCGCUAACGCAUUAAGCAUUCCGCCUGGGGAGUACGGCCGCAAGGUU